Molecule: ribosomal RNA, 569 nt
Filed under: Iophon koltuni
Lineage: Eukaryota; Metazoa; Porifera; Demospongiae; Poecilosclerida; Acarnidae
Description: partial 28S ribosomal RNA
Rfam family: Eukaryotic large subunit ribosomal RNA
Source: RNAcentral
GGUGGCAAACCCGUCGGCGCAAUGAAAGUGAAGGCAGCUCUUUUGCUGCUGUGGCGAGAGCCUCCUUGCGAGGCGCAUCGUCGACCGAUCCCAAGCUACGCUGUGGCGGGAUUUGAGUGAGAGCGUGCCUGUUGCGACCCGAAAGAUGGUGAACUAUGCCUGAAUAGGGUGAAGCCAGACGAAAGUCUGGUGGAAGCUCGUAGCGAUUCUGACGUGCAAAUCGAUCGUCAAAUUUGGGUAUAGGGGCGAAAGACUAAUCGAACCGUCUAGUAGCUGGUUCCCUCCGAAGUUUCCCUCAGGAUAGCUGGAGCCCGGUGCAGUUUUAUCAGGUAAAGCGAAUGAUUAGAGGUCUUGGGGCUGAAACGGCUUCAACCUAUUCUCAAACUUUAAAUGGGUAAGAAGCCCGGCUUGCUCGGUUGAAGUCGGGCGUUAGAAUGCCGGGGCUCCCAGUGGGCCAUUUUUGGUAAGCAGAACUGGCGAUGUGGGAUGAACCAAAUGCCGGGUUAAGGUGCCGGAAUCGACGCUCAUCAGAUCCCAUGAAAGGUGUUGGUUGAUACAGACAGCAGGAC